RNAcentral lists this ribosomal RNA (497 nucleotides) under uncultured bacterium. RNAcentral describes it as "partial 16S ribosomal RNA". It matches the Rfam family "Bacterial small subunit ribosomal RNA", at positions 28 to 507 of the family's 1533-position model. The record is from RNAcentral.
GACGAACGCUGGCGGCGUGCCUAAUACAUGCGAGUUGAGCGAUGAAGCUUGGUGCUUGCACCAAUUUGAAGAGCAGCGAACGGGUGAGUAACGCGUGGGGAAUCUGCCUUUGAGCGGGGGACAACAUUUGGAAACGAAUGCUAAUACCGCAUAAUAACUUUAAACAUAAGUUUUAAGUUUGAAAGAUGCAAUUGCAUCACUCAAAGAUGAUCCCGCGUUGUAUUAGCUAGUUGGUGAGGUAAAGGCUCACCAAGGCGAUGAUACAUAGCCGACCUGAGAGGGUGAUCGGCCACAUUGGGACUGAGACACGGCCCAAACUCCUACGGGAGGCAGCAGUAGGGAAUCUUCGGCAAUGGACGAAAGUCUGACCGAGCAACGCCGCGUGAGUGAAGAAGGUUUUCGGAUCGUAAAACUCUGUUGGUAGAGAAGAACGUUGGUGAGAGUGGAAAGCUCAUCAAGUGACGGUAACUACCCAGAAAGGGACGGCUAACUACGUG